RNAcentral lists this transfer RNA (74 nucleotides) under Candidatus Babeliales bacterium. RNAcentral describes it as "tRNA-Arg". It matches the Rfam family "tRNA". From Rfam's summary of the family: Transfer RNA (tRNA) molecules are approximately 80 nucleotides in length. Their secondary structure includes four short double-helical elements and three loops (D, anti-codon, and T loops). Further hydrogen bonds mediate the characteristic L-shaped molecular structure. tRNAs have two regions of fundamental functional importance: the anti-codon, which is responsible for specific mRNA codon recognition, and the 3' end, to which the tRNAs corresponding amino acid is attached (by aminoacyl-tRNA synthetases). tRNAs cope with the degeneracy of the genetic code in two manners: having more than one tRNA (with a specific anti-codon) for a particular amino acid; and 'wobble' base-pairing, i.e. permitting non-standard base-pairing at the 3rd anti-codon position. The record is from RNAcentral. Lineage: Bacteria; Candidatus Babeliae; Candidatus Babeliales.
GCGCCUGUAGCUUAACUGGAUAGAGCACCGGAUUUCGAAUCCGUAGGUUGAAGGUUCGAAUCCUUCCAGGCGCA